UACAGAGGUCCCAAGCGUUGUUCGGAGUUACUGGGCGUAAAGGGUGUGUAGGCGGUUCUUUAAGUUUGGUGUGAAAUCUCCCGGCUCAACUGGGAGGGUGCGCCGAAUACUGAGGGACUAGAGUACGGGAGAGGAAAGUGGAAUUCCUGGUGUAGCGGUGAAAUGCGUAGAUAUCAGGAGGAACACCGGUGGUGUAGACGGCUUUCUGGACCGUAACUGACGCUGAGACACGAAAGCGUGGGUAGCAAACAGG
This 253-nucleotide ribosomal RNA is filed under the name uncultured bacterium. RNAcentral describes it as "partial 16S ribosomal RNA". It matches the Rfam family "Bacterial small subunit ribosomal RNA", at positions 524 to 776 of the family's 1533-position model. The record is from RNAcentral.